This 301-nucleotide ribosomal RNA is filed under the name uncultured bacterium. RNAcentral's name for it is "partial 16S ribosomal RNA". It matches the Rfam family "Bacterial small subunit ribosomal RNA", at positions 509 to 807 of the family's 1533-position model. The record is from RNAcentral.
CAGCCGCCACGGGAAUACGUAGGUGGCAAGCGUUGUCCGGAAUUAUUGGGCGUAAAGGGCUCGCAGGCGGUUUCUUAAGUCUGAUGUGAAAGCCCCCGGCUCAACCGGGGAGGGUCAUUGGAAACUGGGAAACUUGAGUGCAGAAGAGGAGAGUGGAAUUCCACGUGAAGCGGUGAAAUGCGUAGAGAUGUGGAGGAAUACCAGUGGCGAAGGCGACUCUCUGGUCUGUAACUGACGCUGAGGAGCGAAAGCGUGGGGAGCGAACAGGAUUAGAUACCCCGGUAGUCCCUGUCUCUUAUAC